UGCAUUCAUUAAGGCACACAUACAUACAUACACAUGUACACGUUCUAGUACAUACGCAUAAUUUUUAAGGCAGUUCGUUUAGUUAGAAUUCACAUUUAAUUUUCGCUAAUUCUCAAUUCUCUUUUACAAGCUAACUAACCCCAACUAACAUUCGUUCUAUGUCUAUGAUACUAUCGCUAAGCUAAUCCCAUUUCGCAGUUGAUGCUGGGCUAAAAUCUAUCUCUAAGCACGAGCUUCGGCAGCUGCACCUCAAAAAAAAAAAAAAAAAC
Long non-coding RNA from Drosophila navojoa, 269 nucleotides. The record is from RefSeq and is a predicted model, not a curated record. Lineage: Eukaryota; Metazoa; Arthropoda; Insecta; Diptera; Drosophilidae.